GUCACUUUGGCGGAGUGGUUAACGCGCAGCCCUGCUAUCGUCGGUGCUCAUCAUCGGUCUAUGAUAGGCUGUGACUUCGGUCGCGUAGGUUCGAAUCCUGCAGGUGACG
Non-coding RNA from Ilyonectria destructans, 109 nucleotides. Lineage: Eukaryota; Fungi; Ascomycota; Sordariomycetes; Hypocreales; Nectriaceae. The record is from the annotation of a GenBank genome assembly.